RNAcentral lists this ribosomal RNA (301 nucleotides) under uncultured bacterium. Its description in RNAcentral is "partial 16S ribosomal RNA". It matches the Rfam family "Bacterial small subunit ribosomal RNA", at positions 509 to 808 of the family's 1533-position model. The record is from RNAcentral.
CAGUAGCCGCGGUAAUACGUAGGGUGCAAGCGUUAAUCGGAUUACUGGGCGUAAAGCGUGCGCAGGCGGUUAUGUAAGACAGGUGUGAAAUCCCCGGGCUUAACCUGGGAACUGCGCUUGUGACUGCACAGCUAGAGUAUGGCAGAGGGGGGUGGAAUUCCACGUGUAGCAGUGAAAUGCGUAGAGAUGUGGAGGAACACCGAUGGCGAAGGCAGCCCCCUGGGCCAAUACUGACGCUCAUGCACGAAAGCGUGGGGAGCAAACAGGAUUAGAUACCCGCGUAGUCCCUGUCUCUUAUACA